Tachyglossus aculeatus (Australian echidna) is the source of this 73-nucleotide non-coding RNA. The record is from the annotation of a RefSeq genome assembly. NCBI's taxonomy places the organism in Eukaryota, Metazoa, Chordata, Mammalia, Monotremata, Tachyglossidae.
GGCUCUGUGUCGCAAUGGAUAGCGCACUGGACUUCUAAUUCAGAGGUUGUGGGUUCAAAUCCCACCAGAGUCG